Myotis lucifugus (little brown bat) is the source of this 115-nucleotide small nucleolar RNA. The record is from Ensembl. NCBI's taxonomy places the organism in Eukaryota, Metazoa, Chordata, Mammalia, Chiroptera, Vespertilionidae.
CCCGAGACUAGUCCCAUCCUGACAGCUGCUGUCCUGGCGUGCUAGAGUUCUCGGGAAGAACCUGCGGGUCUCGGUUCACUGGCGAGGGCAGUAAGUGCCCAGAUCAGAAACACAG